CGGUUGUUAGCCGUCGGAUCUUGGCUCGUGGCCGGACCGUGGUGUCGCGAGGCCUUUAUAGGCUUCUUCGCCUCCUCCGUUCGCGGACGCCGGGAUCCCGYGGCAGGGGUUCGCACUUCUGCGGGCGCACGGACYGACUCCGUGGCCCAGCGGUCGCAUGCGUCCUCGUUGGCUGCGGGGAACCCGUCGGAGGUUGGCGGUUSGCGGGGAGUAGAUCGGUCACCCACCCGACCCGUCUUGAAACACGGACCAAGGAGUCUAACAUGUGUGCGAGUCAAUGGGUCUCGAAUAAGCCCAGAGGCGCAAUGAAAGCAAAGGCAGGACUCGACGCCUGCCGAGUUGGGAUCCUCCUUCCUUCGCGUUGGAGGCGCACCAACGACCCGUCCUGUCCCAUUUAUGGGUUGGGCGGAGUUUGA
Molecule: ribosomal RNA, 416 nt
Filed under: Wagneriana eupalaestra
Lineage: Eukaryota; Metazoa; Arthropoda; Arachnida; Araneae; Araneidae
Description: partial large subunit ribosomal RNA
Rfam family: Eukaryotic large subunit ribosomal RNA
Source: RNAcentral